Molecule: transfer RNA, 84 nt
Filed under: Leishmania major strain Friedlin
Lineage: Eukaryota; Euglenozoa; Kinetoplastea; Trypanosomatida; Trypanosomatidae
Description: tRNA_arginine
Source: RNAcentral
GCAGCAGUGGCGCAGGUGCGCACGGUGCCGCGGACGUUUCUGGCGUGGGUGGGUGGGUUUUGGGCUCUGGCCCCGUCUUCUGCC